UUUUUUUAACUUUUUUAUUCGAGCGUCACUGAUGAUUCUUUGUAGACUUCACUCUCGUCUGUCGUACAACACUUUAAUCAUGGCAUGCUAUCUUUUUAUAUCAACAUAUCUUUUUAUUUAAAUUGGUUCUAUUUAUGUUCAGGUAUUCAUGGUUUUCUUUGUCUAAUAUGGUCUCCUUUUUAUUUGUAUUGUAGUCCUGUAAUAUUAUGUUGUCAUUUCAAUGUUAUAUUUAACUUUGCCAUUAAAGUGCGAGGUUUGGCAUGCCAUAAAACCAGGUUCAACCCACCACUUUUAUUCCCCUUUAAAAGUGUCCUGUACCAAGUCAGGAAGAUGGCCAUUGUUAUAAUAUUGUUCGUUUCUGUGUGUGUUGCAUUUUAACGUUGAGUCGUUUGUGUUUUCUCUUAUUUUUUAGAUAAGACGUGGCACGGUACUUAUCUAUCCCAAAUUCUUGUAUUUGGUUUUGAUGUUAUAUUUGUUAUUCUCGUGGUGUUUUGUGUGUUGCUUUUCGGUGUUGUGUCGUUGUUCUCCUCUUAUAUUUAAUGCGUUUCCCUCGGUUUUAGUUUGUUACCCCGAUUUUGUUUUUUGUCCAUGGAUUUAUGAGUUUUGAACAGCGGUAUACUACUGUUGCCUUUAUUCAUAUAAAUUCUGAAAAUAAGAUAUUCUUCAAAACAAAAGACUUUCUGUAUAAUAUUUUGAUUGGUUUAAGUAACAUCAGGAAAUCCUUAAAAUUUGAGAUUUUUUUUUU
Molecule: long non-coding RNA, 745 nt
Filed under: Mytilus galloprovincialis (Mediterranean mussel)
Lineage: Eukaryota; Metazoa; Mollusca; Bivalvia; Mytilida; Mytilidae
Source: RNAcentral